This 402-nucleotide ribosomal RNA is filed under the name uncultured prokaryote. Its description in RNAcentral is "bacterial SSU rRNA". It matches the Rfam family "Bacterial small subunit ribosomal RNA", at positions 355 to 774 of the family's 1533-position model. The record is from RNAcentral.
UAGGGAAUAUUAGAAAUGGGCGAAAGCCUGAACUAGCAACACCGCGUGUGCGAAGAAGGCCUUCGGGUUGUAAAGCACUUUUUGGGAGGAUGAGGAAGGAAGGUACUCUCAGAAUAAGUCUCGGCUAACUACGUGCCAGCAGCCGCGGUAACACGUAGGAGGCAAACGUUAUCCGGAUUUACUGGGCGUAAAGCGCGUGUAGGUGGUUUGGUAAGUAGGGCGUGAAAGCUCCUGGCUCAACUGGGAGAGGACGUUCUAAACUGCAGAGCUAGAGGAUGGUAGAGGGAGGUGGAAUUCCGGGUGUAGCGGUGGAAUGCGCAGAUAUCCGGAGGAACACCAGUGGCGAAAGCGGCCUCCUGGACCACUCCUGACACUCAGACGCGAAAGCUAGGGUAGCAAACG